AUACGGAGGAUCCGAGCGUUAUCCGGAUUUAUUGGGUUUAAAGGGAGCGUAGGCGGACGCUUAAGUCAGUUGUGAAAGUUUGCGGCUCAACCGUAAAAUUGCAGUUGAUACUGGGUGUCUUGAGUACAGUAGAGGUAGGCGGAAUUCGUGGUGUAGCGGUGAAAUGCUUAGAUAUCACGAAGAACUCCGAUUGCGAAGGCAGCCUGCUGGACUGUAACUGACGCUGAUGCUCGAAAGUGUGGGUAUCAAACAGGAUUAGAUACCCUGGUAGUCCACACAGUAAACGAUGAAUACUCGCUGUUUGCGAUAUACAGUAAGCGGCCAAGCGAAAGCGUUAAGUAUUCCGCCUGGGGAGUACGCCGGCAACGGUGAAACUUAAAUGAAUUGGCGGGG
This 393-nucleotide ribosomal RNA is filed under the name uncultured bacterium. RNAcentral's name for it is "partial 16S ribosomal RNA". It matches the Rfam family "Bacterial small subunit ribosomal RNA", at positions 523 to 918 of the family's 1533-position model. The record is from RNAcentral.